Molecule: long non-coding RNA, 912 nt
Filed under: Sus scrofa (pig)
Lineage: Eukaryota; Metazoa; Chordata; Mammalia; Artiodactyla; Suidae
Description: lncRNA (ENSSSCG00025044637.1, ENSSSCG00055014329.1, ENSSSCG00065067476.1)
Source: RNAcentral
UUUUCAGAAUUGACUGAAAGCUGCUGAGAAAGCUCUUCCUUGCUUCUUAGUUCUUAAAAGGGCUUUGACACACUGGCAAGAGUCCAGUGUUUGGAACUUUGGGUUCUAAGCGAGGAGGGAGCGGCUACAUUUACAUGUCCUGGCAAUUCCUCUUUUUGCUACUUUUUGGAGUUGUUCUCUGGAAAAUUUCCUGAUAUUGCCAGGAAGCUGCCACUUUGAAGGAUUUCAUCUCUGAAAGAGAGAGAAAGACUAGGAGGUGAGACCUUGGGAGGCCAAGUGCUGCCCGUGGCUGAGCUGGAGAGUACCUGUGUUGAGCGUGUCAUUCAUCUUAAAGUGAUUGACCAUUUAUGGGGAUGGUGAGAAGGAGAAGAGCAUAAAGUAGAUCAAUGGAAAGAAGGCAGAAAAUGGAGAAACAGGAAGAAGGAGACUGAGUUGGGGGAGUACUGGGAGAGCAAUGGAUUUGAGGAAAAGAUGAAGAUGAUAAGAUUAUGUGUGAUGGGAGAGACUCAUAAAUGUCAUGGAAUAAUGGAAUUUGAGUCUGCAUUGUUUGACUACAUUUGUGCUCCACGCUUCUAGUCGGCUGCCCGACAUUUUCCAGAUCGACUCACUGGUCACUUCAUAUCUCUCCUCUCUUCAAACCAGCAACCUCCUUCCUCAGCCUACACAUUUUCUUUCAUUGAGAAAAAGAGAAGUAAUCAGAUGAGAACUUCCGUAUCUUUCCAUAUGGAGUCUUCUAAGCUACUUGGAUUUGUGUCCAGAUAUUCUGCCUCUCCUCCAUCUCUGUGAGAAAGACUGAGACCUGGGGCCUGGGCCCUUGGCUGCAGUGCUUCACCUGGACAAAUGUCUCUUCAAGCAACAAAGUACAGUGAGGUCAUAAGGGACUAAAAAUAACUGUGUGCAUAUGGAAAUUAU